AGUUCCAAUGAAGUUAAGCUUUUGUUGUAUUCUUGCUGUUGAUAGUUUUCCGAUUUACGAUUUCGCGGUUUAUUGUAAGAUAUUUUACAUUAAAAAUAUAUUGAUUUGAAAUUCAAGCCGUUUAUAGCUUUUUUCCCACAAUUAGUCGAUGUUUAUUCUUAUGUUUACUUUGUUGGAUUCCGCCAGUUUUCGUGCGAAGAAUUCACUCAUCACAAGAAAUAGGAGAUGAAAAUUUUUUGUACCCUGUUAUUAACAGUGAUGUAUUAAAGUUGCAUAGAGUAUGUUUGUGGGCUUAAAAUAUUAUUUGCAAAUUUACCAUGCAGUUUUUUGGUACUUCAGUUUAAAAAUAAUUUCCUGUAAAUAAUAUCAAAAGAAAGGCCGGCUACUGACACUAAUCUUCAGGUGGUUUUCUUUGCAUGUUAACUGUAAAAAUAGGCCAUUGGCCUUUUAGUUGCUGGAUAUGAAGGGUAGCUGUUUUGUGUGAGGGCAGUGCCCAUCUUUUCUCCCUCCAGACAAUCCUUGCUUCGUGUCUAUCUUCAUUGACAGGUCCAAAGUUCUUGGCAGCCACAACAGGAACUUUCAUUCUACUUGGUGAUGGCUUUUCUUUGUGGAACUCCAUGUUGUCUUGCUUACCUUGCAGUACAUUCAUCAGUCUUCAAAACAGGAUUUCUUGAUCAUCUUUGAUUCUUUUUCUGGUUACAAGCUUUUGUAAAGCUUUUCUUUUCUUGUAAGCUUCUUGAUCACCUCCUUGUGGUUCAUUGCAAAUCAGUAGAGGGGGCUCCCCAAAAUCGGGUCCGCUGCUUCUCAAAGAAUAGUAAGGAAUAAACCUGGCUAGGGGUGAAUGCCUCCUGUCCACACUAUAGUGAGUUAAUAAGAUUUUUUUCAGUUUGGUAUUCAUUUUCUAUUUGUGUCAUUUGUAUCCUAAGGUUUAAGGUUUUGUAUUGAAGUGUGACUAAACUCAGAUAACAAAAGUGGAGUAUAUUUUAAUUCUGCAUGGAUGUGAUAAAAUAAUGAUAUGCAAUGUCAGAUUUACUAAAUAACACUUUAUAAGCAUUAAUAAAGCUUAAAAAUACUGAAAUGAGAUAAAUGUGAAUCGGUAGCAUACAAAAAAACAUACAUCACUGACGUUCCCUAGCCUGAUGACAAAAAUGAGUGGGGAUGACGUUGUUAACCCCGAAACCAGCCAUAUUUUGGUAAGCCAUGCUUUUGAUAGCCGCACAAAGAUGGGCAAAAUUUGAGCAGUUUUUGGUUGGUUGACCAAUUCAAGUAACAAGACUGGUAUACCAAUGCUUGGAUUUCCUGAAAAGCAUUAAAUAUUUGAAGAGUGUGGAUUAACUUCAUCAAAAGAACAAGAAAAAGUUUACAAUGCCAACCCCGUACAACGUAUUUGUUGCUCUUCAUUCAUACCAGAAUAUUAUUGUGACAAGUGGCAUGUUGAAAAAGGCCUGAUCAGAAACAAAACAUUUUGACACAUCUUGCCAACAAAGGUGGAAUUGAAAGACCGAGAAGUUUGAGAAAGUCUUUCAUCGACUAUCUGGACUGGAUGGCAGUAUCUACUCCUAGUGGCUAGCACAUGCUAGCUAAAUGAGAAAGUCAACUAAACCAUUUGAAUGAGGGACACGAAUUAUUUUUUCUAGGAUACUUUUAUGGACUUCUGCGAGAAGAGAUAAUGAAGGGCUGGUUUACCACCAAAUUCAGAUGUUCAAAGAAAUAGGAAGUGUUCUGAGGAACAGAUACCUAGCAAAGGAUAUCAAGAAGCUGUCUCCACUGCACUAGACAUCUGCUUUGGAAACCUUCAGUAGCCUGAUAAUAAAGUUUUGCCCCAAGCACACAGCAUUUUUCCUAUCUGGAAUGUACUGCAGAGUAUGUGCCACAGCUAAUGCAGAAAAUUUUUCAAAAGUUUGAAGAAAUUCUGACCAUGGUUCAUGGCUUUCUUCCUACCAGAUUUCUGAACAUACCAGAUCUGCUAGCAGGAUAUGAUCAUCCUACCAAGAUGAGGCAUUGGCAACAUAUUCCACAUUUUUGUACUUCUGACCUAUAAGCCUUAAAACAUAAUUGAACAGGAAAGAAAUUAUGUAACCAAGGCAGAUUAUUCCUGUAUUACCAUCUUUUAAACACCUGACGCAGAAUGACAGGGUCUGAACUCAGUUAUUCUUAAAUGAAAAUCACCAAGUAAUCCUUUUCUUGUGUGAAAAAAAAACUAACAGUUGGAAAAGAUAAAGCAGUAAAUAAAAAUAAUAAUAAUAAUAAUGUGAACUUAUAACGCGCAACAUCGAGACCAAGAUGUCACAUGUUUUGUGUGUUUUAUUUCACAAUUUAAAUAAAUUAUUCAUUAUUGAAUGAUGUCAUCUUCAUGGCCAGAAGUGUUGUGAAAACAACUUCCCAGCAUGGUUGUGACAGUGCUUUGUGUAUGCACUUCACAAAUAUAAUGUAAUAGACCACCCAAAAAAAGACAAAUUAUGUUCUAAACUGAAGAGUUAUUGAACUUUUGGUGAACCUAAUUGAAAUAUUUUUGACAAAAAAGUAUUACAUCGAAGUGAAAUGUUGACAAAUUUCUGUUCAAGAUAUGUUUUAUGCAGUCAGUAUAGAUGUAUCAUAUCUGAUAUAGAAGUGCAACACCUAAGAAUGAAGCACGCACCAUUUUCACAGAAACAUCAUGGCUGAAAUCAACAAACUAAACAAACUUUCUAGUGGUCAUAUUGCUACAGCGUUCAAGACCUUUCAAUUUGCUCUCUAUAGAAGGUGAGUUUCACUUCUGUUUGAUGUUAAUGCUGUAAACAUAUAUCAAUAGGUAGAAUAGCUAGCAGAAUAUUGAGUAAUGCCUUUUGGAACAGGCAAUACUUGCUGCUAAGAGUGCCAAAAUUACAACAGCUUUCUUCUUUUUUUUUUUUUUUUUUGGCAGUUAGAUGCUUAUUUGUAAAUAAAAUGUAUAAGACAUGGUUCAAAAAGUUCUGGUGGUUUUUACUAACUAUAAAUUUUGUUUUGGUUUUUAGGUUAGAAAAAAAAAACAGGACUGAGCUGAUGUGGUCCUCAUUUGUUGCAACUCCAGCACAGUGAAAAGCUGUACUGACUAUUUAAGGCCAUUCUUAACAAAUUUGGGCAUUUUUGACCAUGUUUGUCUGAGUACAGUCUUUAAGGGACUUAUGUUUUUGCAUUGGUCUUUCUAAGUAUAAAAGUGUAUUUAGGACAGGGAUAAAUGCAAGAGUUUACCUUGAAAAUUAACUGAUAGUAAAAAAGACAGUGAUGAAUUCAAUGUUUUUAUUCCUUCUUGUCUCAUACAAGAAAUGUUCUUUCUUUAUAUUUAUCACUAAAAUGUUCUGAGAUGGAAAAUUUGAUUUCCUUUGUUAACAGAUUGGUAAUCUUUAUUAUACAGAGAUAGUAAAAAAUUAAGAUCUUAUCUUUUAAGCUAACACAUUACCAAUAAAAAGUAAAGUAAGUCUAGAAUAAAAUAGAGAUAAAAAAUAAAAGAUAAACAGACUUGCAGGGGCUCAGACUUAUAAUGGGGAAACAUUAAGAGUGAUGCUCGCCAAUUUCUUUUUUUUGUUGUUGUUUUGUUGCCAUGAAAUUUACAUUAACACUGGUUUAAGAAAAUAAUUUAGACACAUGCCCUAUAUACUUUUAUUUCUUAUUUGGAAUUUUUGGUUCAUUCUCAUUGUCAUACUAUUACUCCCUUUUUGUAAAACUUUCAGUAAUAUAUUCUGUGAGACGGUAGUUAACUUUUGUCACUUUGAGAUUCUCAACUUUUUUCUUGACUGUACCCCCAGAGGUGAAAGUAAGUCCGUGGGUACCCCUCGCACGUAAGUUCACGCAUAAAAGUACUUAUUUUCAUAAUGGCGUGUGCUUAUUUAUAUGUAAUGUUAUGUUAUAACCAGUUUUAUGUUAUAAUCAGCUUCUAGGUCAUGAUAGGAGAUUUCUUAAUACUAAUCAGUGAAUUACAUUAAGCAAUAGGAAUGAAGUCUUCGGAUAUUUAGUAAGGUAACUCAAAAUUGAUGCUAUAAGUUAUUCUUAGGCUUUUGAAAGGGACAGAGGGAAUUAUGCCACAUCUUAUUUCCAGUUCACAAAAGACCAAACAGGAGAGAGGUAUGAAAUGUGACAGAUGUUGACUCUUGCUUUUUGAAAGUACUGACCUGAGUCAAUCUACAAUAGUGAAACUUGAGAACAAUUGUUUGUAAACAGAAAUACGAAGAUUUCAUAAAUGAAGUGUGAUCAGUACAACAUUUUCUGGAAUUAAAGAAAGUUGCUUAGUUUUAGUGUACUCUUGUAAGUUUGUUGUUUGUAGCUAGUGAAAAAGUGGAGAAGUUUCAUUGUUUUUAUAGUAUGAAAGUUUUAUUGCUUUACAGUGUUACUCUUUGAAUAGAACAGUAGUUUAAAAAAGUGUAGCUGAUAUUUAAACCCAACCACAGAUAUGCAGCAUGCAAACAAAACAACAAAAAUAUGAGCUCACUGACGUAGAGAAGGGACACCAUAUUAAACCAGAAUGACACAUGAAAGAAAAACUCUGUACAACCAUGUACACCAAAAUUUCACACACU
Molecule: long non-coding RNA, 4532 nt
Filed under: Pomacea canaliculata
Lineage: Eukaryota; Metazoa; Mollusca; Gastropoda; Architaenioglossa; Ampullariidae
Description: uncharacterized LOC112553842, transcript variant X2
Source: RNAcentral